UACGGAGGGGACUAGCGUUGUUCGGAAUUACUGGGCGUAAAGCGCACGUAGGCGGAUUUGUAAGUCAGGGGUGAAAUCCCGGGGCUCAACCUCGGAACUGCCUUUGAUACUGCAAAUCUCGAGUCCGGAAGAGGUGAGUGGAAUUCCUAGUGUAGAGGUGAGAUUCGUAGAUAUUAGGAAGAACACCAGUGGCGAAGGCGGCUCGCUGGUCCGGUACUGACGCUGAGGUGCGAAAGCGUGGGGAGCAAACAGG
Molecule: ribosomal RNA, 253 nt
Filed under: uncultured bacterium
Lineage: Bacteria
Description: partial 16S ribosomal RNA
Rfam family: Bacterial small subunit ribosomal RNA
Source: RNAcentral